Molecule: small nucleolar RNA, 58 nt
Organism: Bison bison bison
Lineage: Eukaryota; Metazoa; Chordata; Mammalia; Artiodactyla; Bovidae
Source: Ensembl
GAGCAAUGAUGACAAGGUUUUACUACAGACCUUUGUAACUACACUUGAUCUGAGCUCG